Molecule: ribosomal RNA, 523 nt
Filed under: uncultured cyanobacterium
Lineage: Bacteria; Bacillati; Cyanobacteriota
Description: bacterial SSU rRNA
Rfam family: Bacterial small subunit ribosomal RNA
Source: RNAcentral
UGGGGAAUUUUCCGCAAUGGGCGAAAGCCUGACGGAGCAACGCCGCGUGAGGGACGAAGGCCUCUGGGCUGUAAACCUCUUUUCUCAAGGAAGAAGAUAUGACGGUACUUGAGGAAUAAGCCACGGCUAAUUCCGUGCCAGCAGCCGCGGUAAUACGGGAGUGGCAAGCGUUAUCCGGAAUUAUUGGGCGUAAAGCGUCCGCAGGCGGCUUUUCAAGUCUGCUGUUAAAGCGUGGAGCUUAACUCCAUCAUGGCAGUGGAAACUGAAAGGCUUGAGUAUGGUAGGGGCAGAGGGAAUUCCCGGUGUAGCGGUGAAAUGCGUAGAUAUCGGGAAGAACACCAGUGGCGAAGGCGCUCUGCUGGGCCAUUACUGACGCUCAUGGACGAAAGCCAGGGGAGCGAAAGGGAUUAGAUACCCCUGUAGUCCUGGCCGUAAACGAUGAACAMUAGGUGUCGGGGGAAUCGACCCCUUCGGUGUCGUAGCUAACGCGUUAAGUGUACCGCCUGGGGAGUACGCACGCAAG